This 64-nucleotide transfer RNA is filed under the name Neotriplax arisana. RNAcentral describes it as "tRNA-Arg". Lineage: Eukaryota; Metazoa; Arthropoda; Insecta; Coleoptera; Erotylidae. The record is from RNAcentral.
AAAUAAGAAGCAAAAUUUGCAUUUAGUUUCGACCUAAAAAUUUGGUAAUUUAUACCCUUAUUUU